GACGAACGCUGGCGGCGUGCUUAACACAUGCAAGUCGAACGGUGAAGCCCCACCUUGCUGGAGUGGUUCAGUGGCGAACGGGUGAGUAACACGUGAGUAACCUGCCCCUGACUUUGGAAUAACCUCUGAAACCUCGUCCUAAUCCGGGUACGGGACUGGUGCGCCUGGGCGCUUUUUGGAAAGUUUCUGCGGUUGGGGAUGGACUCGCGGCUUAUCAGCUUGUUGGUGGGGUAUUGGCUUACCAAGGCUCGGACGGGUAGCCGGCCUGAGAGGGUGACCGGCCACACUGGGACUGAGAUACGGCCCAGACUCCUACGGGAGGCAGCAGUGGGGAAUAUUGCACAAUGGGCGGAAGCCUGAUGCAGCGACGCCGCGUGAGGGAUGACGGCCUUCGGGUUGUAAACCUCUUUCGGCAGGGAAGAAGCGAGAGUGACGGUAACGGGAGAAGAAGCACCGGCUAACUACGUG
This 468-nucleotide ribosomal RNA is filed under the name uncultured bacterium. RNAcentral describes it as "partial 16S ribosomal RNA". It matches the Rfam family "Bacterial small subunit ribosomal RNA", at positions 28 to 507 of the family's 1533-position model. The record is from RNAcentral.